Long non-coding RNA from Chiroxiphia lanceolata (lance-tailed manakin), 723 nucleotides. RefSeq lists it as uncharacterized. The transcript is spliced from 2 exons. The record is from RefSeq and is a predicted model, not a curated record. NCBI's taxonomy places the organism in Eukaryota, Metazoa, Chordata, Aves, Passeriformes, Pipridae.
GGGGGGAGAAGGGGGGGCUUGGGUGACACACAAGGGGCUUGAGUGACAUGGGGGGGCUUGUGUGACACGGGGGGACUGGAAUGACAAGGGGGGGACUUGUGUGACACACAGGGGGGCUUGUGAGACAGUGGGGGGACAAGGGGGGGCUCGUGUGACACGGGGGGGCCAAGCGGGCUCAUGUGACUCGUGUGACAUGGGGGGGGACAAGGUGUGACACACGAGGGACUGGUGCGAUCCUGAGCACGCAUGUCCCAGUGUCACACGUGAGUGUGCAAGGAGGGGCUCGUGUGACACUCAGGGGGUGACACGAAGGACUCUGGGACGAAGGACUUGUGCGAGGCCCGCGGGGGUGUGAGGAGGGGGGGCCUCGUGCAAGGGACUCGUGCAAAGGACUCACCCAGGACCCUCGUGUGACGCGGGGACUCGUGCAAAGGACUCGUGCAAGACCCUCGUGUGGCACGGGGAGUUGUUCGAGACCCUCGUGCAAGGGACUCAUUCAAGACCCUCGUGCAAGACCCUCGUGCAAGGGACUCUUGGAGGCCCCCGCGGGGUCCCCACCCCCCCCUUUCCGCCCCUCCCCCCUCCCUCGGGUGGUCCCGGGGGGUGUCGGGGGGUGGGGGAGGGGCCGGGGGGGUUGGGGGGAGGGGCCGGGGGGGGAUUUUUUAAAUUCGCCGCGGCCAAAACUUUCCUACUUUAAUAAAAAACCCAGCGGGCGUUUCCAGU